UGACGGUACCCUUUCGAAUAAGAGGUUGCUAACUCUGUGCCAGCAGCAGCGGUAAUACAGAGACCUCGAGCGUUAUCCGGAUUUACUGGGCGUAAAGCGUCUGUAGGGGGGUUUUGUUAAGUNGUCCCAAGGUAAAAAUCGUUAAGAGCUCAACUUUAAGUUCGCUUGGAAAACUAAUAAACUGGAGUCCAGCAGAGGUGCAUGGACUUGCGGUGUAGGAGUGAAAUCCGUUGAUAUCGCAAGGAACACCAAAGGCGAAGGCAUUGCACUGGGCUGGUACUGACCCUGAGAGACGAAAGCGUGGGGAGCAAAACGGAUUAGAUACCCGUGUAGUCCACGCCGUAAACGAUGGAUACUAGAUGUUCGGGGAUUCGACCCCCUGGGUGUCACAGCUAACGCGUUAAGUAUCCCGCCUGGGAAGUACGGCCGCAAGGCUAAAACUCAAAGGAAUAGACGGGGAUCCGCACAAGCGGUGGAGCGUCUGGUUUAAUUUGAUAGUAAGCAAUGGACCUCACCAAGGUUUGACAUCCUAUGACAACCCUGGAAACAGGGCUUCCUUCGGGCAUAGUGACAGGUGCUGCAUGGUCGUCGUCGGUUCGUGCCGUGAGGUGUUCCGUUAAGUCGGGAAACGAACGAAACCCUCGUCGCAUGUUACAAAUUUCAUGCGAGACUGCCCGGGUCAACCGGGAGGAAGGCGGGGAUGACGUCAGAUCAGCAUGGCCCUUAUACCUUGGGCUACACAGGCGCUACAAUGGCCGGUACAAAGGGUUGCAAAACCGCGAGGUGAAGCUAAUCCCAUAAAGCCGGUCCAAGUUCGGAUUGGAGGCUGCAACUCGCCUCCAUGAAGUUGGAAUCGCUAGUAAUCGUGGAUCAGCCAUACCACGGUGAAUACGUUCCCGGAUCUUGUACUCACCGCCCGUCACACCAAGAGAGUUGGUAGCUCCUGAAGCGUCGCAUUACGGCACCACGGAGAGAUCAGCGAUAGGGGUG
RNAcentral lists this ribosomal RNA (990 nucleotides) under uncultured organism. RNAcentral describes it as "bacterial SSU rRNA". It matches the Rfam family "Bacterial small subunit ribosomal RNA", at positions 470 to 1482 of the family's 1533-position model. The record is from RNAcentral.